Molecule: ribosomal RNA, 478 nt
Filed under: uncultured bacterium
Lineage: Bacteria
Description: partial 16S ribosomal RNA
Rfam family: Bacterial small subunit ribosomal RNA
Source: RNAcentral
GACGAACGCUGGCGGCGUGCUUAACACAUGCAAGUCGAACGGUAAGGCCCUUCGGGGUACACGAGUGGCGAACGGGUGAGUAACACGUGGGUGAUCUGCCCUGCACUUCGGGAUAAGCCUGGGAAACUGGGUCUAAUACCGGAUAGGACCACUGCCUGCAUGGGUGGUGGUGGAAAGCUUUUGCGGUGUGGGAUGGGCCCGCGGCCUAUCAGCUUGUUGGUGGGGUGAUGGCCUACCAAGGCGACGACAGGUAGCCGGCCUGAGAGGGUGACCGGCCACACUGGGACUGAGAUACGGCCCAGACUCCUACGGGAGGCAGCAGUGGGGAAUAUUGCACAAUGGGCGCAAGCCUGAUGCAGCGACGCCGCGUGAGGGAUGACGGCCUUCGGGUUGUAAACCUCUUUCAGCACCGACGAAGCGUAAGUGACGGUAGGUGCAGAAGAAGGACCGGCCAACUACGUGCCAGCCGCCGCAGUAA